GAGGGGGAUGGUGGCUCUUCUGACAUCUCCAAGACCUCCAGGAAGUUCUGGGGGAGAGGGGGCUUUAGCUUCUUUUUUUUUUUUUUUUUUUUUUAAAGAUAGUCUCGCUCUGUCGCCCAGACUGGAGUGCAGUGGAGUGAUCUUGGCUCACUGCAACCUCCGCCUCUAGGGUUCAAGUGAUUCUCCUGCCUCAGCCUCUCAAGUAGCUGGGAUUACAGGCGCGUGCCACCACACCCGGCUAAUUAUAUAUUUUUAGUAAAGACAGGGUUUCACAAUGUCAGCCAGGCUGGUCUCGAACUCCUGACCUCAGGUGAUCCAUCCGCCAUGGCCUCCCAAAGUGCUGGGAUUACAGGGGUGAGCCACCACACCCGGCCACUUGGGCUGUUUCUUCCAUAAGGCUCUUCUGUAAGGGGUUUUACUCUGUACGAUUUUACUUUCCAGAUUGGCGAGAGACUGAGAAGGCAAGUUUGAGAUCCUGGAGAGAGAACCACUUUGAAGACGGUGAAUUCUGGAGGGAGCCUGGUCUGCAGAGGUGUGUGGCCUCGGUGGAUGGAACUGUUCCUACCUGUGCAUAGGAUUGACUGUUCUUCUUGCUCCUGGUUACUGGAGGCAGCCGCCUGCUGCUUCCCCCAUGGCAGACAUGUGGCUAGGGGUGCAAGUCGGAAGAGUGAGUGGGGCUGCCGCAGGCUUUGCCCAGGCUCCCCUGCACCUGCGGGAAGGCUUCUCCUUGGCGGGUAAGUUUUGCACCAUGAAGCAGCAUGUUCCUGUCUUUCACUGUGUGAUGUAAAAAUCUAUGA
Molecule: long non-coding RNA, 797 nt
Filed under: Pan troglodytes (chimpanzee)
Lineage: Eukaryota; Metazoa; Chordata; Mammalia; Primates; Hominidae
Description: lncRNA (ENSPTRG00000054544.1)
Source: RNAcentral